GUGUUCACUUUGACAGCAUAGAUACUAAAGUUGGAAUGAUACAGAGGAGAUUAUCAUGGCCCUUGCACAAGGAUGACAUGCAAAUUCAUGAAGCAGUCCUUAUUUUU
RNAcentral lists this small nuclear RNA (107 nucleotides) under Dasypus novemcinctus (nine-banded armadillo). Lineage: Eukaryota; Metazoa; Chordata; Mammalia; Cingulata; Dasypodidae. The record is from RNAcentral.